UACGUAGGGUGCGAGCGUUAAUCGGAAUGACUGGGCGUAAAGGGUGCGUAGGCGGUCGAGUAAGUCUGACGUGAAAUCUCCGGGCCUAACCCGGAAACUGCGUUGGAAACUACUUGGCUAGAGGAAUGGAGGGGAGACUGGAAUACUUGGUGUAGCAGUGAAAUGCGUAGAUAUCAAGUGGAACACCAGUGGCGAAGGCGAGUCUCUGGACAUUUCCUGACGCUGAGGCACGAAAGCCAGGGGAGCAAACGGG
This 253-nucleotide ribosomal RNA is filed under the name uncultured bacterium. RNAcentral's name for it is "partial 16S ribosomal RNA". It matches the Rfam family "Bacterial small subunit ribosomal RNA", at positions 524 to 776 of the family's 1533-position model. The record is from RNAcentral.